GUCCAGACUCCUACGGGAGGCAGCAGUGAGGAAUAUUGGUCAAUGGGCUAAGGCCUGAACCAGCCAAGUCGCGUGAGGGAAGACGGUCCUAUGGAUUGUAAACCUCUUUUGUCAGGGAGCAAUUGGCGCUACGUGUAGCGUUAUCGAGAGUACCUGAAGAAAAAGCAUCGGCUAACUCCGUGCCAGCAGCCGCGGUAAUACGGAGGAUGCGAGCGUUAUCCGGAUUUAUUGGGUUUAAAGGGUGCGUAGGCGGAAUGCCAAGUCAGCGGUAAAAUCGGGGGGCUCAACCUCGCUCCGCCGUUGAAACUGGCGUUCUUGAGUGGGCGAGAAGUAUGCGGAAUGCGUGGUGUAGCGGUGAAAUGCAUAGAUAUCACGCAGAACUCCGAUUGCGAAGGCAGCAUACCGGCGCCCAACUGACGCUGAAGCACGAAAGCGUGGGUAUCGAACAGGAUUAGAUACCCCUGUA
RNAcentral lists this ribosomal RNA (466 nucleotides) under uncultured bacterium. RNAcentral's name for it is "bacterial SSU rRNA". It matches the Rfam family "Bacterial small subunit ribosomal RNA", at positions 329 to 792 of the family's 1533-position model. The record is from RNAcentral.